RNAcentral lists this ribosomal RNA (385 nucleotides) under uncultured Isochrysis. Its description in RNAcentral is "partial Bacterial large subunit ribosomal RNA". It matches the Rfam family "Bacterial large subunit ribosomal RNA", at positions 1583 to 1972 of the family's 2925-position model. The record is from RNAcentral. Lineage: Eukaryota; Haptophyta; Isochrysidales.
UACCGAAGUUCCUGAUUCCACACUGCCAAGAAAAGCCUCUAGCGAGAUGAAAGGUGCCCGUACCGCAAACCGACACAGGUAGUCAAGGAGAGAAUCCUGAGGUGCUCGAGUGAUCCGUGGCUAAGGAACUAGGCAAAAUGGUCCUGUAACUUCGGGAGAAGGGACGCCUCCUCAUGCUUGCAUGAGAGGCCGCAGUGAAUAGGCCCAGGCGACUGUUUAGCAAAAACACAUGGCUUUGCGAAAUCGAAAGAUAAAGUAUAAGGCCUGACACCUGCCCGGUGCUGGAAGGUUAAGGGGAACUGUGAGUGUAUGCGUAGCGGUGAACUUAAGCCCCAGUAAACGGCGGUGGUAACUAUAACCAUCCUAAGGUAGCGAAAUUCCUUGU